UAUUAUGCCAGAUUUAACCACUGGGCCUUC
This 30-nucleotide non-coding RNA is filed under the name Mus musculus (house mouse). The record is from RNAcentral. Lineage: Eukaryota; Metazoa; Chordata; Mammalia; Rodentia; Muridae.